Patiria miniata (bat star) is the source of this 119-nucleotide long non-coding RNA. RefSeq lists it as uncharacterized. The record is from RefSeq and is a predicted model, not a curated record. The transcript is spliced from 2 exons. NCBI's taxonomy places the organism in Eukaryota, Metazoa, Echinodermata, Asteroidea, Valvatida, Asterinidae.
UAAUUAUACUGUUGCAACGCAAGGCGCUGAAAAGUAGAGGGACCGGGGGGAAAAAUAAGAAUAAAUAAGAAAGAAUUCAGAUUUUUGGGAUAAUAAAAGAGGGGGGGGGGGGAGGGGGA